Molecule: non-coding RNA, 72 nt
Organism: Phrynosoma platyrhinos (Desert horned lizard)
Lineage: Eukaryota; Metazoa; Chordata; Lepidosauria; Squamata; Phrynosomatidae
Source: the annotation of a GenBank genome assembly
GCCAGUGUGGCAUAGUGGUUUGCGCAUUGAAAUAGGACUCUGGAGACCAGGGUUUGAUUCUCUGCUCGGACA